GUGGGGAAUAUUGGACAAUGGGCGCAAGCCUGAUCCAGCCAUGCCGCGUGAGUGAUGAAGGCCCUAGGGUUGUAAAGCUCUUUCGACGGGGACGAUAAUGACGGUACCCGUAGAAGAAGCCCCGGCUAACUUCGUGCCAGCAGCCGCGGUAAUACGAAGGGGGCUAGCGUUGUUCGGAAUCACUGGGCGUAAAGCGCACGUAGGCGGAUCGUUAAGUCGGGGGUGAAAUCCCAGGGCUCAACCCUGGAACUGCCUUCGAUACUGGCGAUCUUUGAGUCCGGGAGAGGUGAGUGGAACUCCGAGUGUAGAGGUGAAAUUCGUAGAUAUUCGGAAGAACACCAGUGGCGAAGGCGGCUCACUGGCCCGGUACUGACGCUGAGGUGCGAAAGCGUGGGGAGCAAACAGGAUUAGAAACCCCGGUAGUCC
This 426-nucleotide ribosomal RNA is filed under the name uncultured bacterium. RNAcentral describes it as "bacterial SSU rRNA". It matches the Rfam family "Bacterial small subunit ribosomal RNA", at positions 354 to 796 of the family's 1533-position model. The record is from RNAcentral.